This 440-nucleotide ribosomal RNA is filed under the name uncultured bacterium. RNAcentral describes it as "partial 16S ribosomal RNA". It matches the Rfam family "Bacterial small subunit ribosomal RNA", at positions 338 to 795 of the family's 1533-position model. The record is from RNAcentral.
CCUACGGGAGGCAGCAGUAGGGAAUAUUGCUCAAUGGGGGAAACUCUGAAGCAGCAACGCCGCGUGGAGGAUGACGGUUUUCGGAUUGUUAACCCCUUUUGUUAGAGAAGAUAAUGCCGGUAUCUAACUAAUUAGCACCGGCUAAUUCCGUGCCAGCAGCCGCGGUAAUACGGAGGGUGCAAGCGUUACUCGGAAUCACUGGGCGUAAAGAGUUCGUAGGUGGCAUGUAAAGUCAGGUGUUAAAGGCGCAGGCUCAACCUGUGUAUGGCACUUGAUACUUACAAGCUGGAAUGCGGUAGAGGUAGAGGGAAUGUCUGGUGUAGCGGUGAAAUGCUUAGAGAUCAGGAAGAACAUCGUGGGCGUAGGCACUUUACUGGGCCGUAGUUGACGCUGAGGAAUGAAAGCCAGGGUAGCAAAUGGGAUUAGAUACCCUAGUAGUC